This is a non-coding RNA of Phrynosoma platyrhinos (Desert horned lizard), 73 nucleotides long. The record is from the annotation of a GenBank genome assembly. NCBI's taxonomy places the organism in Eukaryota, Metazoa, Chordata, Lepidosauria, Squamata, Phrynosomatidae.
GCCAGCAUAGUGUAGUGGUUUGAAUGUUGGACUGUGACUCUAGAGUCCAGUGUUCAAAUCCUGGCUUCAGACA